AUGGUGGCCACACAACUACUCAUCUCCCUCGGUGGCUACCUCCUCUAUGCCAUAUGCAUGGUGGCGCUGACGUGUCUGGUAGGCAGUGCAUUUUUCGCUAUCUUCCCGUCGUUAGAGAAUAAAAUCCCCCCCUACAUUCAGUUCUCGAUCAUCCAGGGCGUCUGCUUCGCGCUCAAGAAUUUUCGGUGGGUUGUUCUCAUCUCAGAAUCCCACUACACCUUACCUUCCAGUGUCUCCCAAGUGAUAGCCAUACUUAUUUGCAUCGCUAGCUAUCUAGUCUGCAUGUUCCUAUUGCCGGCGCUCCUGAUCAACACAUGCUCCCGGGUCUGGACUGCAACAGUGAGGCAGCAGUGUGAUGUUAAUCAGCUACCCGAUGGGGUAAAAACCAUCUGGCUUGUUGUCAACUUCGUGGUGACGGAUAGGGUCGCAGGCUGUUAUGUAGACCCUGCUAUUAUCUCUGGAUUUUUCUCCUACAUCAUGUUCCUCGCCGGCUACCUCGUCUACAUCGCCUGCAUGCUGGCGUUGUCAGCUCUGGUGCUCUUCAUAGCCGGCGCCGCCAUGGAGAAUUCAAAGACCUGGUGGCCUGAGCUGAUCCACACCAGCAUCGUCGGCCUCGCCCUCCUCCCGCUCAACAAGAUGUGGGGCUCGCCGUUCCAGAGGCCUUCCGCCGACUCCGACACGGCGGGAGCGGCGCUUGUCGGCCUCGGUGGCUACUUCGCCUACAUCCUCUGCUCCAUGGCGCUGUCCUACAACAUGUUCGGCGCAUCUCUGCUGCCCAGGACCUUCACCAUCGGGCUCACCUUCUCGCUGUUGGAUGUGUUCCUCAAGCCUUCCAGCUACUCUGACAUGGUGGCCACGCUUGGGACCAUCCACGGCGCUCAUGGCCUUCUUGGUUCUGGCGGCCAUGUCGUUUCUCGUCUUCAUAUUCCUGCAGACGUGGGUCGACAUGCUGCUUCCUUCUGCCUGGCAUCACCACCCAGCACGAACGUUCGCCACCAUCGUCAGCCUCACCUUCGGGGCGAUGAGAGCCAUGCUGGACAUCGUACAGGCCGUCGACGAGCCUUCCGUCUUCUCCGGCAUGAAAGCGGGGCUCCUCGGCGUCAUCCACAUGAUAAACGGUUACCACGGCGCCUACACGGGGAUCAGGAACCUCACCGUUCUAGCCGUUCCCUUGUUAUCCAUGGAGUCGAUGCGCGUGGUUUCCCCUUGGUGUACAGGUUGUACACCAAGGCGGCCUUGAUCGUCGCCCUAGGCCUCGUGUUAACCAUGCCGCCAGCUGGGCUCACCACCGAGGAACCUGCCUUCACCUUGGUUUCAGAUGAUUUCGUCCAGCAAACCAUUAACAGCUUCGUCACCUCACAAAUCCAAAUGCCCGAUGGUGGAGGAACUAAGCAACUUACUAAUUAA
This 1407-nucleotide ribosomal RNA is filed under the name Triticum aestivum (bread wheat). Its description in RNAcentral is "partial small subunit ribosomal RNA". Lineage: Eukaryota; Viridiplantae; Streptophyta; Magnoliopsida; Poales; Poaceae. The record is from RNAcentral.